Nymphaea colorata (pocket water lily) is the source of this 535-nucleotide long non-coding RNA. RefSeq lists it as uncharacterized. The transcript is spliced from 2 exons. The record is from RefSeq and is a predicted model, not a curated record. NCBI's taxonomy places the organism in Eukaryota, Viridiplantae, Streptophyta, Magnoliopsida, Nymphaeales, Nymphaeaceae.
AGGUUUUCGAAAGGGAAAAAAACACAGGGCUGCGCCGCUGCAGGAAGAGAGUGCGAGGGAGAGAACGAGACAAAGAGAAGGAGAUAGAGAAUGAAAGAGUGAGAAAUGGAGCACGAGAGACGGAGAGAGCAGGGCUGCAGGAAGGAGGUCGGAAGAGAAGAGGGGAGAGAAUAACAUGAGGAAAAAGGACACAACAGUAGUGGAUAGACACUGGUUUAAAAUGUUUGGGAUUGCUAGGUCCGUUGGGCUUUCGGUGGCAGGACUUAUGGAAGGUGGUUCAGUAUGCCCAUGGAUUGGAUGUAUUCGUGAGUGCCCUAUUCGUUCUUGUUCUCCUUUCUUGGACAUGGAAAAAAUCUUUCCGACUGUUUUGGUGUAAAGCUCAGGGAUUUCUGAUUGGAUUGUUGGUUUCAGUGAUAGAGUUGCUAAAAUAUCUAUUACAUAGAUCAUCAAAGAUUUUUGCUUAUUAAUCAUAGAUAUAGAUUGGAUAGACAUUCAUUUGAUGAAACUAAAGAAAUGAGAAGUGCUCAUCUACCUC